Molecule: long non-coding RNA, 9532 nt
Organism: Gorilla gorilla gorilla (western lowland gorilla)
Lineage: Eukaryota; Metazoa; Chordata; Mammalia; Primates; Hominidae
Exons: 2
Source: RefSeq, a predicted model, not a curated record
UCUGCUGACGAGCCCCGGCGCGGCGGCUCCCCGCCCACCCCGCGGGAACCCGGGACCUACCGCUUCGUCCGCCUCCCGCGCGCCCCAGGCCCCGGGUUGGGGUGCGGGGGGCGCAGGGGUCUGUCGGGCCAGUGCCGCAGCUCCGGCCCCGGAGUCUUUCCGCCUUCACAAGGAAGCGGAGGGGAUCUGGCUCCGUCCAUUUCCUCAUCCUCUGCGUACCUGCGGACCAGGUGCUCCCGGAUGCAACCCGAGAACCCGGAACGCGCCUGGCACACAGGAGGCGCUCAGCUCGUGUUGGGGAAUUCAGGCAGGGAAGAAAGCAGGGAUGGGCACGAGGUCUCCCCUUCCUGGGGAGCCGCUCCCAGGGCCUCCAGCCUCUUUUUCUGUUAUCUUGGAGACCAGUCUGGAAAAGUCCAUGCCCCUGAGAGACCCUGAAACAGGACCCUGUGGGCCGACUCGCUUUUUGUUUUUCUCUUUUUUUUGAGACAGAGUCUCGCUCUGUCGUCCAGGCUGGAGUGCAAUGGCGCGAUCUCGGCUCACUGCAAGCUCCACCUCCUGGGUUCAAGCGAUUCUCUUGCCUGAGCCUCCCGAGUAGCUGGGACAACAGGCGCCCUCCACCACGCCCGGCUAAUUUUUUGUAUUUUUAGUAGAGACGGGGUUUCACCGUGUUGGCCAGGAUGGUCUCGAACUCCUGACCUCGUGAUCUGCCCGCCUCAGCCUCCCAAAGUGCUGGGAUUACAGGCGUGAGCCACCGCGCCCGACCCCGACUCACUUUUUUUUUUUUUCUUUUUUGAGACAGAGUCUCACUCUGUUGCCCAGGCUGGAGUGCAGUGGCGCGAUCUCGGCUCACUGCAACCUCUGCCGCCUGGGUUCAAGCAAUUCUCCUGCCUCAGCUUCCCGAGUAGCUGGGAUUACAGGCACCUGCCACUGCGUCCGGCUAAUUUUUGUAGUUUUAAUUAGAGACUGGGUUUCACCAUGUUGGCCAGGCUGGUCUUGAACUCCUUACCUAGUGAUCCACCCACCUCAGCCUCCCAAAGAGCUGGGAUUACGGGCAUGAGCCACCGCGCCUGGCCAGUUACAUGUGUAACUGGCAUCAUAUGUCCAGUUACAUGUCUAACGGCCAGUUUUAUGGGGACUUUUCAGGAAACUCCUGGAUCGAGGCUGGCAUCUUUCCGGCCCAAGCAGGCUCAGCCCAUGGAGAUCUCACGAUGGCAACAUCCUAGGCCCCAGCCUGCGCCGCACCCUCCCCAGGGUUCUAGGCCCUGAUUCUGACCACAUGUCCCCACCUAGAUGCGGCCUGGGCACUCCCGCACCUGCUUGUGGGGUUUGGGCCACCAGCCUGUGUGGCCUCCUCCAUCACCUGCAGCUGCUCCUCUCGGCCAGACAGGACUUUCUUCUGCUGCUGCACGGAGGAGCUUUCCCCAGCACCUGGGCCAGGCUGGAGUGCAGUGGUGUGAUGACAGCUCACUAUAGCCUCAGCCUCCCGGGCUCAAGAGAUCCUCCGGCCUCAGCCUCCCAAGUAGCUGGGACUACAGGUGUGCACCCCCACGCCCGGCUAUUUUUACUGUUAUUAUUAUUAUUAUUAUUAAUUUUGAGAUGGAGUCUCACUCUGUUGCCCAGGCUGGAGUGCAGUGGCACCAUCUCAGCUCACUGCAAGCCCCACCUCCUGGGUUCACGCCAUUCUCCUCUCUCAGCUUCCCAAGUAGCUGGUACUACAGGCGCCCACCACCACACGUGGCUAAUUUUUUUGUAUUUUUACUAGAGACGGGGUUUCACCAUGUGUUAGCCAAGAUGGGCACAAUCUCCUGACCUCGUGAUCUGCCGGCCUCGGCCUCCCAAAGUGCUGGGAUUAUAGGCAUGAGUAUUAUUAUUAUUUUUUGAGACAGAGUCUCACUCUGUCACCCAGGCUGGAGUGCAGUGGCACAAUCUUGGCUCACUGCAACCUCUGCCUCCCGGGUUCAAGCAGUUCUGCCUCAGCCUCCCAAGUAGUUGGGAUUACAGGCGCCUGCCACCACGCCUGGCUAAUUUUUGUAUUUUCAGUAGAAAUGGGGUUUCACCAUGUUAGCCAGGAUGGUCUUGAUCUCCUGACCUCAUGAUUCACCCACCUCAGCCUUCCAAAGUGCGGGGAUUACAGGCGUGAGCCACCGCACCUGGCCUUUAUUAUUAUUUUUUUUGAGACGGAGUUUCGCUCUUGUUGCCCAGACUGGAGUACAGUGGCAGGAUCUUGGCUCACUGCAGCCUCUGCCUGCCGGAUUCAAGCGAUUCUCCUGCCUCAGCCUCCUGAGCAGCUGGUACUACAGGAGUCCAUCACUAGGCUUAGCUAAUUUUUAUAUUUUUAUUAAAGACGGGGCUGGGCACGUUGGCUCACGCCUGUAAUCCCAGCACUUUGGGAGGCCGAGGCAGGCGGAUCACAAGGUCAGGAGAUCGAGACCAUCCUGGCUAAGACAGUGAAACCCCGUCUCUACUGAAAAUACAAAAAAUUAGCCGGGCGUGGUGGCGGGUGCCUGUAGUCCCAGCUACUCAGGAGGCUGAGGCAGGAGAAUGGCGUGAACCUGGGAGGUGGAGCUUGCAGUGAGCUGAGAUCACACCACUGCACUGCAGCCUGGGGAACAGAGCGAGACUCCGUCUCAAAAAAAAAAAAAAAAAAAAAAGACGGGGUUUCACCAUGUUGGCCAGGCUGGUCUCGAACUCCUGGGCUCAAGUGAUCCUUCCACCUCGGCCCCCCAGUGCUGGGAUUACAGCGUGAGCCACUGGGCCCGGUCUGGCUGUAUCUUUUGGGAGGCUGCCCUUCAGCCACCACAGCCCUCAUUUCAGGUUCUUGUGGGACCCUCAGGGGUUGAAGGACAAAGAGAUGCUUUCCACCUCCUAACCGGGUAUGUGGCUUAGGGAGGCUGUGUGGGGGCUGGGCUGGCCUGCGAGGGGCGGGCGGGGUGGAGGUGGGGCCUGUGAGUCCGGUGGACGGGAUGCAGCCCAGGUUGGCUGAGGGCCGGCAGGUGGUGCUGCGGAGCCCACGGGGGCCAGCAGGUGCCAAAACCCCAUACAGGGGGAAUAAACCCCCUCAGGUCAGGAGUUCCUGGGGAGGAGAGCUGAGUUUUCCAAAAUUAACUAAUUUUUCCUGAACGUCUGAUUUCAAAACGUUUACUGAGCUUUCCUGUGUUCCCAUCAAGGCCUGUGCUUCCAGGAACUGGGAAAGGAGAGGUGGGGUCACUGUGGGUCUGUCAGGGCUGCAGGAGGGGAGAGGUGGGGUCACUAUGGGUCUGUCUGGCCGGGCGGCAGGAGGAGAGGUGGGGUCACUGCGGGUCUGUCAGGGUGGGCGGCAGGAGGAGAGGUGGGUUCACUGCGGGUCUGUCUGGCCGGGCGGCAGGAUGUGCACUCAGACUCAGCCCAUGUGGUUUCCAAGGCCCGAAGGACACACCAGGCCAGAUGCCCCCAUCACACACAGGGCUAGGGAGCAGCAACUGGGGUCCACGGUGGUUCCGCCCCACCCCACCCCGCAGGGCCACCCUCCGAGAGCAGUGCUAUUCUUGGUUCUCGCCAUAGAACCUGGGUUUAGGUUUGGGGGCCCAGGAGCUGCCUGGUGGGUGGGUGGGGGUGAUAUGGUUUGGUUCUGUGUUCUCACACAAAUCUCAUCUCGAACUGUAAUCCCUGUGUCGAGGGAGGAAGGUGAUUUGAUCAUGGAGGAGGGUUUCCACAUGCUGUUCUCGUGAUGGUGAGUUCUCACGGGGGCUGCUGAUUUAUAAGUGGCAGCUCCCCCUCCACUCUCUCGCCUUCUGCCACGUGAGAUGUGCCUGCGUCCUUCGCCUUCCGCCAUGAUCGUAAGUUUCCUGAGGCCUCCCCAGCCCUGUGGAACUGGGAGUUAAUUAAACCUCUUUCUUUUAUUUUUAUAUUUUUUAUUUUUGAGGCAGAGUCUCACUCUUGUUGCCCAGGCUGGAGUGCAGUGGCGCAAUCUCAGCUCACUGCAACCUCUGCCUCCCGAGUUCAAGCGAUUCUCCUGCCUCAGCCUCCGAGUAGCUGGGACUACGGGUGCCCACCACCACACCCGGCUAAUUUUUGAAUGUUUAGUUGAGACACGGUUUCACCAUGUUGGCCAGGCUAGUCUUGAACUUCUGACCUCAGGUGAUCCGCCCGCCUCGGCCUCCCAAAGUGCUGGGAUUACAGGUGUGAGCCACCGCGCCCGGCCAGACCUCUUUGUUUAUAAAUUACCCAGUCUCAGGCAGUGUCUUUAUAGCAGUGUGGGAAUGAACUCACGUAAGUGGGGAAGGUGAAUCCUCCAACUCCCCCACCUGUGUGGCCACCAACGUGCAGGACACCAGGACGAGCUUCCCAGAGGGCCAGGGCCAGGCAACAGAGUGCAGGGUAGGCCAGCAUGGCCUUGGGGCGGCGUGGUACCCAACAGGAAUGUGGAGAUGAGGCCCGAGGUGGCGGCUCACACCGGUAAUGGCAACACUUCGGGAGACUAAGGUGGGAGGAUCGCUUGAGCCCAGGAGUUUGAGAGCAUCCUGGGCAACAUAUUGAGACCUCGUUCCUACAAAAUAAUGAGUCGGUGCAGUGAUGCAUGCCUGUGGUCCUAGCUACUCAGGAGGCUGAGGUAGGAGAAUUGCCUGGACCCGGGAGGUCGAGGCUGUAGUGAGCCGUUAUUGCACCACUGCACUCCAGCCUGGGCAACAGAGCAAGACCCCAUCUCAAAUAACAGUACAAAAUAAGUAUGGAGAUGCUGGCUCCUGUGGGAAGCUGGGUGGACGUGGGGGGCACACCCUCCAGUCUGCAGAAACUUCCCGCCGCUCGGGCUGAUGUGCUCGAGGGCUCCCGAGGCCCUGCCUCCUGGGCGGCAGGGGGAACAUGGGAAAGGCUGCCGGGCCCCGGGCUCCCCGGUGGGUGGCCCCGUGCAGCCUGUUAUUCAUAAAACUUGGAGAGAAAGUGCCUUUUUGUAGGAAAGUGUGGGGUGCUGGCGGCCAUUUCCACCUGUGGUUGGACCCGGACUGCCUCCCCGCGUGUGGCCCGUGCCCCACCCCACACCCACCCCCGCCCUCUGUCAAGCAGGACUCGGGCUCUCCGUUGGCCGAGCAGAUGUUUUAUUUGUGGAACGGAAUUGCCGUCGGGAUGGGCGUGGGGUCAUUAGCAGCAUAAUCAACACCCACAUCCUCCCUGGGGGCAGCCACGUCUUGUUGACAGGUGGAGGCCGUGACAUGCUGCAGUUACAGCUAAUGAGGAGGGUGUGUGACCCGCGCCUCCAUCGCAGGUGCGCAGUGAGUUGUGGAAAUGCCGAUAAUUUAAAAUAGUCGAACAGGGCCGGGCGUAGUGUCUCAGGCCUGUGGUCCCAGCACUUUGGGAGGCCAAGGUGGGAGGAUCACCUGAGGUCAAGUGUUCGAGACCAGCCUGGCAACAUGGCGAAACCCUGUCUUGACUAAAAUACAAAAAAAUUAGCCGGGCAUGAUGGUGCACACCUGUAAUCCCAGCUACUCGGGAGGCCGAGGCAGGAGAAUCGCUUGAACCCGGGAGGCGGAGGUUGCAGUGAGCCGAGAUUGUGCCACUGCAUUCCAGCCUAGGCAACAGAGCGGGACUCCAUCUCAAAACAUAAAAAUAAAGUAGUGGAAAAAAACUAUAGGAAAAAGAAAAGAAAAAGCUAAAAAGAAAAUUUAACGUGAAAAAGCGUAUUGGCCGGGUACGGUGGCUCAGGCCUGUAAUCCCAACACUUUCAGAGGCCCAGGCGGGCGGGAUCUCUUGAGCCCAGGAGUUUGAGAGCAGCCUGGGCAACAUGGUGAGAUUCCAUCUAUAUUUAAAAAAAAAGCAUGUUACAGGAAUUCUAGGAAUGGACUGUGGGCAGUUGCAUGGAGAUGGCCUGUAAGAGCUGGCCAGCUUUCACAACCUUCAGCUUUAUUUUGAAAUCUUGCAUUGAGAUGAAUAACUGCUUUUCUUUCUUUUAGGACAUAGCUAACCCCAGAGAAUAUGUUCACAUUCAUUUUCCAUGUGGCACUGCUUCGGUUGAAAUUUUUUUUUUUUUUCUUGAGAUGGAGUCUUGCUCUGUCGCCCAGGCUGGAGUGCAGUGGUGCGAUCUCAGCUCACUGCAACCUCUGCCUCCUGGGUUGAAGCGAUUCUCCUGCCUCAUACUCCCGAGUAGCUGAGAUUACAGGCAUGUGCCACCACGCCCAGCUAAUUUUUGUAUUUUUAAUAGAGACAGGGUUUCACUGUGUUGGCCAGGAUGGUCUCGAUCUUCUGACCUCGUGAUCCACCUGCCUCGGCCUCCCAAAGUGUUGGGAUUACAGGCGUGAGCCACUGCACCCAGCCGUUGUCAAAACUUUUCUUUUUUUUUCUUUUGAGACAGAGUUUUGUUCUUGUUGCCCAGGCUGGAGUGCAAUGUCAGGAUCUUUGCUCACUGCAACCUCUGCCUCCCGGGUUCAAGCGAUUCUCCUGCUUCAGCCUCCUGAGUAGCUUGUAUUACAGGCGCCUGCAACCAAGCCCGGUUAAUUUUUGCAUUUUUAGUAGAGACAGGCUUUCGCCAUGAUGGCCAGGCUGGUCUGUAACUCCUGACCUCGUGAUCCGCUCACCUUGGCCUCACAAAGUGCUGGGAUUACAGGCAUGAGCCAUCAUGCCCCGCGAGACAAGUUUAUUAGAAAUGACUCGGCUGGGCGUGGUGGCAGGCACCUGUAAUCCCAGCUACUUGGGAGGUUGAGGCAGGAGAAUCGUGGGAACCUGGGAGGUGGAGGUUGCGGUGAGCGGAGAUUGUGUCAUUGCACCCCAGCCUGGGCGACUAGAGUGAAACUCCGCCUCAAAAAAACAAAAGAAGAGGCCGGGCACGGUGGCUCAUGCCUGUAAUCCCAGCACUUUGGGAGGCUGAGGUGGGCAGAUCAUGAGGUCAGGAGAUCAAGACCAUCCUGGCUAACACAGUGAAACCCCGUCUCUAUUAAAAAUAUAAAAAAUUAGCUGGGCAUGGUGACCGGGGCCUGUGGUCCCAGCUACUCAGGAGGCUGAGGCAGGAGCAUGGCGUGAACCCGGGGGGCAGAGCUUGUAGUGAGCCAAGAUCGCGCCACUGCACUCCAGCCUGGGCGACAGAGCGAGACUCCGUCUCAAAAAAAAAAAAACAACGAAUGAUUCUAUUACAGAGCGGACGUGCUCAGAGAGCAGGAAGAACUCGCUGUCCUUUGUUAGUGUUUCUGCUUAUAAGAAACUACAAGGAAUCUCUACACGUAGACCUGAAUGUGCAGCUGUGCUCACCGAAGGUCGGGGCUGCUGGUGCUCCCCGUGACCAAUCACCUUCAGCCUCAGCCUGCUCACUGGCGCUCUCUCAGUGAAGUGGGCUGCACUCUCUGGAGGUCUGGACAUUCUCAGGCCUGCUGGGAAAUGUCCUGUAUGGCCAUAACUAUUUUGCAACUAUUUGCAUAACUAUUUUGCAGUCACAGUUGGUGGUCAGCUUGGGACGUAGCUGUUUUCAGCCCCUAAGCAUGAACUUUAUACUUGCCUUGUGAGUGCCAAGCUAGGCACUAUGAGAUGGAGUCACUCUGGUCGUGUUUUAUGAGGCUGGAGGCCUGGAAAAGGCAGAGCUUCCUCCAUCAUAACCAUCGUGGUGCCCCUGUCUGGGCCGGCUGUGUGCCAGCAUCACAGCCCCCGGACCAAGUACUGCUCUGUGCACCGAUGUCUGUUUUGCAGAACUGGAAUCUCAGCUUCCGAACCGCCCACUCCACCAUCAGCCAAGCCGGGACCACUCCGGAGUGCCUGGCCCCUGAGCUGUGCCCGUGCUCCUGUGUUGAAGACCUGGUUCCCGUGAGGGACCUGGCCCCUCAUUUGAACUCUCGGCACCUCAGUUCUCUCCUCUGUAAAACAGGGAUAGAAGGCGACCUCCCACAGCCCUGACUGCACAGGGCAUCCUGCUCUGGCCUGGCGGGUGGAGGAAACAGUGGCCGAGCGAGAGGCGCUGACCUCCCAGAGUCGGGAAGCCUGGGCCAACCAGGGAAGACUUCCUGGAAGAGGUGACCGGGGCGGAGACCCAGUGAUGCGUCUGCUCCAGGCUAGGGGCUCGGUCCUCUUUUCUGUUUUGACGUCAUGGGGGAUGGAAUUGAGAGCGAUCAGAGCAGAAGCCAGCCUCUCAGCUCAGAGCAUGGCUACUGCUCUCUGGGAGUGGGUCCUGCUGAGGGAUCCUCUGUGGAUUAUCGGAUUAACGUUCAAUGUGUCCACACCAGAGGCUGAGCUAGCAAAGCCGGACAUCUCUAUUUACUCAACUUCUUAAAUGCGACGGCCAGUACCCUGACGAUUUGGCCAUGUGAAAACCAAAGAGAAAAGGUAUUUUUUUUUAAAUAUGUAGAACAAACAACACCAAAGUUAUUUUAUUCAUUCAAAGUGUGAAAAGGCCAACAAUAGCCUGGGGUGGAUGGGGGUGAGGGCACCCUGGCAGCCACCAUCCCUGGCAUCCCUGGCACGGAGCGGUGUCCCUGGCACGGAGCAGCGUCCCUGGCAUGGAGCAGCGUCCCUGGCAUGGAGCAGCGUGGAGUGGGGUGGGUGUAGGGAGGGGUAAGGUGAGCACGGAAGCGAGGCGCCUGUGAGCGCAGCCAAACGAGGCGCCGAGGAGACCAGAAGGAAAGCCACCCACGGGCUGCGAGAUUGCGCAGUGGCGGUGGGAACCAGGGCAGCCUCUUCUCUCCAGGCCUGUGGGUUCCAGCAUCCCUCUCACCACAGCCCUUCCUUCUGCUCAUGCAAAGCUCCUUGUUCUAAUUUGAAUUUCAAUGGAUGUACAGAGGUCAGACCUCAAACCCCUCCUGGUGAACCAGCCACCCAGUUGCUCCCCUGAGCUGGUGGCUUCUCCCUCGGCCCCUGCUUUUCUCCCGCGUUGGCUGUUUCUCUGGUUUUGGAUGUCCCUGCUGCUCGCUGUGCCGUGGACUCUUUCAGGUGCUGGGAAAUGUCUUCUGUGUGUUUGUUUGACAUCUGCCUCUCAGCUGCCAGUUGGUUCAUUCAGUAGAAAUCCCCUUCUUUCAGAUGAAGUCAGAUUUACCAAUGCUUUGCAGUGUAGUUUGGUCCCAGGGCCUCGGGGAUCUUGCUCCGUUCCCUUUUUUGGUUUCCUCCCCAUCUCCACUUUUUUUUUUUUUUUUCCCCCGAGAUGGAGUCUCCCUCUGUCACCCAGGCUGGAGUGAAGUGGCAUGAUCUCGGCUCACUGCAACCUCCGCCUCCUGGGUUCAAGCGGUUUCCAGCUAAUUUUUGUAUUUUUGAUAGAGAUGGGGUUUCGCCAUGUUGGCCAGGCUGGUCUCAAACUCCUGACCUCAAGUGAUCCACCUGACUCGGCCUCCCAGAGUGCUGGGAUUACAGGCCUGAGCCACCAAGCCCGGCUUUCGUCGCUUUUAAGUGCGUAAUUCAGUGGCAUUAUGUACAUUCAGAAUGCUGUAUAACCAUCACCGCUACCCAUUUCUAGAAAUUUCUCACCUCACACAGACACUGUCCCCAUUAAACAAUAAUCCUCCACUGCCCUGGUUCCCGGGCGCUGCUGUUUUCUUUCCCGUCUGUGUCUUCACCUGUUCUGAAUAUUUCAAAUAAACAGGAUCAUACCUUU